This 27-nucleotide non-coding RNA is filed under the name Drosophila melanogaster (fruit fly). Lineage: Eukaryota; Metazoa; Arthropoda; Insecta; Diptera; Drosophilidae. The record is from RNAcentral.
UUGAUACGAAUGAGACCCGCAGUAAAG